AAAUUCUGCAGUCAAUGAAUGUGGUGUUAAAUUGACUUUUUCAGGAAAGAAGAGUAACACAUCCCGGACCCUCAUCCUCAUAGUCGUUCCCACGGUUAUUAAUUCAGUGUUAUUGAUCAGCAUCAUCUGCUUCUUUUUAAAAAAGAGGAGGCCAAGGGGGCAGUUUCUAAGUUUUGAGGGUGAAACGAGAACCCUGGAAUCCUUGCAAUUUCAGUUCAGCACCAUUAGAGUUGCAACAGACAACUUCUCUGAUGCUAAUAAGCUUGGAGAAGGUGGAUUCGGCUCUGUUUACAAGGGUAGGCUUUCCGAAGGGCAAGAAAUAGCUGUUAAGAGGCUGUCUGCUGGUUCUAAACAAGG
Vitis riparia (riverbank grape) is the source of this 357-nucleotide long non-coding RNA. RefSeq lists it as uncharacterized. The transcript is spliced from 3 exons. NCBI's taxonomy places the organism in Eukaryota, Viridiplantae, Streptophyta, Magnoliopsida, Vitales, Vitaceae. The record is from RefSeq and is a predicted model, not a curated record.